RNAcentral lists this ribosomal RNA (225 nucleotides) under uncultured bacterium. Its description in RNAcentral is "partial 16S ribosomal RNA". It matches the Rfam family "Bacterial small subunit ribosomal RNA", at positions 524 to 743 of the family's 1533-position model. The record is from RNAcentral.
UACGUAGGGUGCAAGCGUUGUCCGGAAUUAUUGGGCGUAAAGAGCUCGUAGGCGGUUUGUUGCGUCGGCUGUGAAAUCCCGAGGCUCAACCUCGGGUCUGCAGUCGAUACGAGCAAACUAGAGUGUUGCAGGGGGAGACUGGAAUUCCGUGGUGUAGCGGUGAAAUGCGCAGAUAUCGAGGAGGAACACCGGUGGCGAAGGCGGUUCUCUGGGCGAUUGACCUGA